RNAcentral lists this ribosomal RNA (306 nucleotides) under Alternaria destruens. RNAcentral's name for it is "partial large subunit ribosomal RNA". It matches the Rfam family "Eukaryotic large subunit ribosomal RNA", at positions 1 to 305 of the family's 3401-position model. The record is from RNAcentral. Lineage: Eukaryota; Fungi; Ascomycota; Dothideomycetes; Pleosporales; Pleosporaceae.
GACCUCGGAUCACGUAGGGAUACCCGCUGAACUUAAGCAUAUCAAUAAGCGGACGAAAAGAAACCAACAGGGAUUGCCCUACUAACCGCAAGUGAAUCGGCAACAGCUCAGAUUUGAAAUCUGGCUCUCUUAGAGUCCGAGUUGUAAUUUGGAGAAGGCGCUGUGGCAUUGUCACCGAUCCAAAUUCCUUGUAACAGGACGUCACAGAAGGUGAGAAUCCCCUACCUGGUCCCUGGCUGUUGCCCUGUAAAACAGCUUCGAAGAAUACAGUUGUUUGCGAAUGCAGCUCUAAGGGACAAGUAAAUC